RNAcentral lists this ribosomal RNA (253 nucleotides) under uncultured bacterium. RNAcentral describes it as "partial 16S ribosomal RNA". It matches the Rfam family "Bacterial small subunit ribosomal RNA", at positions 524 to 776 of the family's 1533-position model. The record is from RNAcentral.
UACAGAGGUCUCAAGCGUUGUUCGGAUUCAUUGGGCGUAAAGGGUGCGUAGGCGGCGAGGUAAGUCCGAUGUGAAAUCCCGGAGCUCAACUCCGGAACUGCACUGGAUACUGCCUUGCUUGAGUGCUGGAGAGGAGACUGGAAUUUACGGUGUAGCAGUGAAAUGCGUAGAUAUCGUAAGGAAGGCCAGUGGCGAAGGCGAGUCUCUGGACAGCUACUGACGCUGAGGCACGAAGGCCAGGGGAGCAAACGGG